GCUGCAGCUUCUCAAGCUCCUUGUUGAUUUUCUGCACAUCAGCCACCGUGGUGCCAGCGGACAGGCGGCGACCUUCUGGCUUCGUGUACUCAGCACAGAGACUGAGGAUGGUCUCCAGCCGCUGCCGCUCCUACAGCGAGGAAGUAGGCAAGAUUACAUGGUCUCCAGAUUUGUGCUGGCUGGUGAAAUGCAAGAAGCAAUGGAGAACAUACCUGUACAACAGACUGGUAUGAAAUAUUACAUGUCUUCCUUAGCUAUGACAGACUGAGCCCAGCUAGUACUGGCUCCGUCUGUCUUGGUUCCCAGAAAGGAAGUAUGGAGCAGAAGUCUUCAUCAACCUACACUGGCCAUGAAAUAUUUAAAAGAAAUAGAUCUAUGCUAUUU
Long non-coding RNA from Mastomys coucha (southern multimammate mouse), 384 nucleotides. RefSeq lists it as uncharacterized. The transcript has 2 exons. Lineage: Eukaryota; Metazoa; Chordata; Mammalia; Rodentia; Muridae. The record is from RefSeq and is a predicted model, not a curated record.